RNAcentral lists this ribosomal RNA (413 nucleotides) under uncultured bacterium. RNAcentral describes it as "bacterial SSU rRNA". It matches the Rfam family "Bacterial small subunit ribosomal RNA", at positions 355 to 758 of the family's 1533-position model. The record is from RNAcentral.
UGCGGAAUUUUAGAUAAUGGAGGGAACUCUGAUCUAGCGACGCCGCGUGCAGGAAGAAGGUCUUCGGAUUGUAAACUGCUGUGGUAAGGGAAAAAUGCUAUGUAGAGUGGAAAGCUACAUAGAGGGAUGGUACCUUACUAGAAAGCCCCGGCUAACUACGUGCCAGCAGCCGCGGUAAUACGUAGGGGGCGAGCGUUACCCGGAAUCACUGGGCGUAAAGGGAGCGUAGGUGGCCUAACAUGUCAACUGUGAAAACCCGGAGCUCAAGUCAGGACGUGCAGUUGAAACGGGUAGGGUUGAGGACGGUAGAGGGAGACGGAACUGGCAGUGUAGGGGUAAAAUCGUUGGAUAUUGGCAGGAACGGCGGUGACGAAGGUGGUUGUCUGGGCCGGUUCUGACACUGAUGCUCGAAA